AGCGAACGCUGGCGGCAGGCCUAACACAUGCAAGUCGAACGGAUCCUUCGGGAUUAGUGGCGGACGGGUGAGGAACACGUGGGAACGUGCCUUUUGGUUCGGAACAACUCAGGGAAACUUGAGCUAAUACCGGAUGUGCCCUUCGGGGAAGGAUUUAUCGCCAUAGGAGCAGCCCGCGUUGGAUUAGGUAGUUGGUGAGGUAAAGGACUCACCAAGCCUACGAUCCAUAGCUGGUCUGAGAGGAUGAUCAGCCACACUGGGACUGAGACACGGCCCAGACUCCUACGGGAGGCAGCAGUAGGGAAGUCUUGCGCAAUGGGCGAAAGCCUGACGCAGCCAUGCCGCGUGAAUGAUGAAGGUCUUAGGAUUGUAAAAUUCUUUC
RNAcentral lists this ribosomal RNA (382 nucleotides) under uncultured bacterium. Its description in RNAcentral is "bacterial SSU rRNA". It matches the Rfam family "Bacterial small subunit ribosomal RNA", at positions 29 to 437 of the family's 1533-position model. The record is from RNAcentral.